RNAcentral lists this ribosomal RNA (486 nucleotides) under uncultured bacterium. RNAcentral describes it as "partial 16S ribosomal RNA". It matches the Rfam family "Bacterial small subunit ribosomal RNA", at positions 28 to 523 of the family's 1533-position model. The record is from RNAcentral.
GACGAACGCCGGCGGCGUGCUUAACACAUGCAAGUCGAACGAUGAAGCCGGAGCUUGCUCUGGUGAAUUAGUGGCGAACGGGUGAGUAACACGUGAGUAACCUGCCCUUGACUCUGGGAUAACUGCGGGAAACUGUAGCUAAUACUGGAUACGACCCUCGGAGGCAUCUCCUGGGGGUGGAAAGAAUUUCGGUCAAGGAUGGACUCGCGGCCUAUCAGCUAGUUGGUGAGGUAAAGGCUCACCAAGGCGACGACGGGUAGCCGGCCUGAGAGGGUGACCGGCCACACUGGGACUGAGACACGGCCCAGACUCCUACGGGAGGCAGCAGUGGGGAAUAUUGCACAAUGGGCGCAAGCCUGAUGCAGCAACGCCGCGUGCGGGAUGACGGCCUUCGGGUUGUAAACCGCUUUUAGUAGGGAAGAAGCCUUCGGGUGACGGUACCUGCAGAAAAAGGACCGGCUAACUACGUGCCAGCCGCCGCCGUAA